This 68-nucleotide transfer RNA is filed under the name Mytilus coruscus. RNAcentral describes it as "tRNA-Met". The record is from RNAcentral. Lineage: Eukaryota; Metazoa; Mollusca; Bivalvia; Mytilida; Mytilidae.
GAUAAAAUGGUCUAACGUAGGAUAUAGGGUUCAUGCCCCUAAGGUGCCGUGAACAUCGGCUUUUAUCU